CUGGCGGCGUGCUCAACACAUGCAAGUCGAACGAAGGCUUCGGCCUUAGUGGCGGACGGGUGAGUAACGCGUGGGAAUCUACCUUACGGCGGGGAAUAACAGUUGGAAACGACUGCUAAUACCGCAUACGCUCUACGGAGGAAAGGCUUCGGCCACCGUUUGAGGAUCCCGCGUCCGAUUAGCUAGUUGGUAGGGUAACGGCCUACCAAGGCGACGAUCGGUAGCUGGUCUGAGAGGAUGAUCAGCCACACUGGGACUGAGACACGGCCCAGACUCC
This 277-nucleotide ribosomal RNA is filed under the name uncultured bacterium. RNAcentral describes it as "partial 16S ribosomal RNA". It matches the Rfam family "Bacterial small subunit ribosomal RNA", at positions 36 to 339 of the family's 1533-position model. The record is from RNAcentral.